GAGAGAGCUUCUGCCCUGUUUAUGGAACCAAAUUCCUCAAGAAAUGUUCAACAACCUCGUGUGUAGUAUGCAAAGAAGAUGUCAAGCUGUUAUUGAUGCCCGUGGAGGCCAUACAUUGUAUUUUUAGUCUUAAAAUGUUUGAAUUCUCUGAGAAUUAAAUUUCGUUAUUUUACUCGAUUUUUCUUAACCACCCUGUAUACGCUGCAGACCUACAGGCUAAAAUUAAUUUUAUUUCCUGCAACUUGAAAUCAUCUUAAUAUGAAUUUUCAUCACAAAAAUCAUUUCAGCUAAGUCACAAAGUUUUUCUAAAUUUGCAUUUUUAAUGAUCAUAAUUAUUGGUGUUGAUGAAAUAAAAUAUAAAUGAAUGAAAAAAUUUCAAGAGUAAUUUUGAGGACAGCACAUCGAAAUGUUUCCACAAUAAUUCGCUGGUCGGAUUCGAAAAUGGACUAGUCUCAAUUAAACAGUGCUUACUUCCCUAGGCGCAAAAGUGUCUUUUAUUGUUAAAUCAAACGUGAAACCAUAAAGUCGAAAAUACCUUUUAUCAGUUCGUUAUCUUUUUGUCCAUAUAUAUUGAAUUGGAUUGAGCAUUAAAAUCUAUAUUGAAUUAAAAAUCCAAUCACGUAUACUCAAGCAAUAAAGCGAAAACGUUCAUUCUAAAUAAUUUGAUUUUCAUAAGAACUUCCAUAGAUUGCAAUAUGAGGUUACAUAUCACAUGGCUCUUGAUAACGUUGAAUUUUUUAAUGAAAUUUGGAGUUGGUGACCCGCCGAAAUGUGGAUAUUUUGGUUUCGCUAACCCGUCUGUCCAGGCCCGGGUCGACCGGUCGGCAACCGCAGAUCCAGAGGGGCCUCCUUCCCAAGGGAACCUCCGGCCCGAAGGGGGCGUCUGGACCAAGGAGGCCAAGGAGGUCGGAGGCUCCAUUGGGCCUCCGGUCGAAAAGUGGCACUAGCCGAACAAAACUCAAAUAAACAAAUAAAUAUUUGAAAAAUA
Molecule: long non-coding RNA, 988 nt
Organism: Harmonia axyridis
Lineage: Eukaryota; Metazoa; Arthropoda; Insecta; Coleoptera; Coccinellidae
Exons: 2
Source: RefSeq, a predicted model, not a curated record